UUUCGGGAUGUCACCUUCAGCGACGGCUUCAUCAAGCUGAUCGAGGUGGAGCAUCGAAGGAGACUGGUUGCUACUGUAAGACCGGCGAUGCUCGACUCUGUGUUGGAGAUAGAAAACGGAAUGGGUGCCUGCACCACAGAAUCCUACACGCCUUAUGGUUGGACUACUGUCACAUGGAACAGAAAGCUCUCCUCGGAUCGUUGGAGGCAGGACUGCACGGCCUAUAUCAGC
Molecule: long non-coding RNA, 231 nt
Filed under: Setaria italica (foxtail millet)
Lineage: Eukaryota; Viridiplantae; Streptophyta; Magnoliopsida; Poales; Poaceae
Description: long non-coding RNA (SITA_LNC007299)
Source: RNAcentral